CGGGGCCGGGCGAGGCGGGAGGGGCGGCUCCCGGCUCCCGGAGACCCGGAGUCCGCGGUGCGGCGGUCCUGUCUCCUGCUGGCUUGGGGAGACGGGGGACUCCGCGGAGGCCCCCUCCCCGGUCCCUGGGGAGUUCCGGGGGGUGCGGUCUCGUCCCCUCUCCCGGGUUCCCUGCGCAGCCCCCCAAACGCCUCUCCUCCAACCCCCUCCGUGCUCUAACGACCGCUUCCCGCCUGGGCUCGGCCGCUCCCUGGCUGUACUGGGAAUGGACACCUUUGUUCAGAGGAAAGGAGAGGCAAAGCGCGGGGUGCGGAGGAGUGUAGCUCUUAUCUUUCUCCGGGGAAGCUGCAGACACCUAGAUGUCCAGCAAGUCCAUGAGAAACUGCAGAGCAAAACAGAGAUCCAAAUUACAGUCAGCUUCCUACGGCACGUGUGCUGCAGCCGACUGCUUGCUACCACUGAAAGCCCUAAAAGGUUCACCACUGCUGUCCUAGAGUGUUGGGAUUAGAG
RNAcentral lists this long non-coding RNA (510 nucleotides) under Heterocephalus glaber (naked mole-rat). Its description in RNAcentral is "lncRNA (ENSHGLG00100028976.2)". Lineage: Eukaryota; Metazoa; Chordata; Mammalia; Rodentia; Bathyergidae. The record is from RNAcentral.